Molecule: non-coding RNA, 27 nt
Filed under: Homo sapiens (human)
Lineage: Eukaryota; Metazoa; Chordata; Mammalia; Primates; Hominidae
Source: RNAcentral
UUCCCAGGCCAGGUUGUAAAGUUGCCC